UGCAUCGAUGAAGAACGCAGCGAAAUGCGAUACGUAGUGUGAAUUGCAGAAUUCCGCGAAUCAUCGAGUCUUUGAACGCAAGUUGCGCCCGAGGCUCGUCCGAGGGCAUUUCCGCUAGAGCGUCACCGCGCCCCCCACCGAUCCGCUCCCGCCGCGAGGCGCCAGUCGGCUCGAGUGGAAGUGGCCGUCCCGGUCGCGAUCUUCGCGAGUGAGGGUCGGCUGAAAUGGAUGGAAUCGGGCCGCCGUGGUGACACAGUCCGCGAUCGGGUGAUUUUCCGCGAGCCUCCCCCGGGAGGGUCGCCGUGAAUUUUUCUAAGUGCGUGGCUGCGUCCCCCAGUUGGUUUCGGUUCCCUCGUGCAGGUCGUGCGCGCCCCCGCGGCGCGCGUCACGCAUCAGACCUCUAAUCGGAAAAGACUACCCGCUGAGUUUAAGCAUAUCAAUAAGCGG
RNAcentral lists this ribosomal RNA (447 nucleotides) under Rhynchostegiella laeviseta. RNAcentral describes it as "eukaryotic LSU rRNA". The stretch from base 1 to 125 matches the Rfam family "5.8S ribosomal RNA", at positions 29 to 154 of the family's 154-position model. The record is from RNAcentral. Lineage: Eukaryota; Viridiplantae; Streptophyta; Bryopsida; Hypnales; Brachytheciaceae.